Myotis brandtii (Brandt's bat) is the source of this 536-nucleotide long non-coding RNA. RefSeq lists it as uncharacterized. The transcript is spliced from 3 exons. Lineage: Eukaryota; Metazoa; Chordata; Mammalia; Chiroptera; Vespertilionidae. The record is from RefSeq and is a predicted model, not a curated record.
GAGAGUGGUCCCUGCUCCGCGGGUUCGCUGUUCCGUUGCUGCCUGCGGCCGCGAUCUCCUCUGCAGCCUCCGGUGCCUUGCUCUCCGAGCUCCCAGGCCGUUCUCCUAGACGCAGCAUUGGUUUCUGGUUUCCGAAGGAAUGUUCGGGCUUGGCAGAGACCAGACUGUAUGGCUUGUUUCUAAUGAAAAGACUGUGACAGAAGUGACAGCAUGAGACUUCCAAAAUGAGGUCAUAAAAGGCAUCCCAGAUGCUACCUUGCUCCUCCUUGGAUCACUUGCUCUGGAGAAAACCAGCUGCUAUGUCAUGAGGACCCUUAAGCAGCUCUAUAGAGAGACCCACAUGGCAAGGAAUGGAGGCCUCCUGCCAACAGCCAGCACUGACUUGCCAGUCCCAGUCAAGCCUUCAGAUGACAUCUUGUCUAUAACCUGUGGCUGCACACACUUUAUAUUCUCACCACCAAUGCAUAAGAUUCUAAUUUUUCGGGGUCCGAGCAAGAUGGCGGCAUAGGUAAACACCGGAGACUGCUGCUGCAAAC